UGGGCAUCAUUCUCUGCAGGAUGGUUAUACCUUUCCAUGUACUUGUGAAGUUACCUCGGAACUAAAUCGAGAUUCUCUUAUUCAGCUCAGGUUGUUACUGGUGAUUCGGCGAUGUUCUUUUAUUUUGUCUUAGCAGAGUAUGGCCAAGUACGAUGGUUCCUUCUGUUUAUCGUAUUGAUCCUAAAGAGAUUUUAGAAUUUUGGCAGGUUGUAGAGUUUCUCCGGAUUUGAAUCCUUGGAGUUUUUCUUUUUUAAGUUUCUCCUGAAGGAGGAGAGCACUCUGAAUCUUAGUAGUUUUAGAGAGAUACUAUUAAGAUUAGGCAAGAGUGUAUAUAGGAGGUUCCACUUUCCAUUUUGGCUGAAAUUUCCCUUGUUAAAGUAUGGGCGUGUCUAUGCUUUCAAUUGGCCGUAUGACUACUGUUAGGUUCGUGUUAUAAGAGGUUUCAGUUUCCAUUUUAGUUCUAAUGUGCUCUUAUUCCCAAGCUUUUGUAAUAUGCGUUAGUGCUUGUUCUGAAUGUUUAAUCAUAUCUCUUUGAGUUUCCUCUAUUGCACCUUUUCAUUCAUAUCUGGAGCUAUGCUUCAUAUAUUAAGUAUUUGGUUGAUGAUACUGUAUCCUUCACUAAAUCUCUUUUCUUGUAUGACGUUUCUAUAAGAGCAUUGACACCCAAUCCCUCCAUCUCCUAGUUUUAACAAUGGAGUCCAGUUAAGAAUGACACCUCAGAUUCUCAUCGGGUACAUGCAUCCUCCAUCAAUUUAUGUAUCAACCAAC
This 768-nucleotide long non-coding RNA is filed under the name Solanum tuberosum (potato). RNAcentral describes it as "long non-coding RNA (STUB_LNC002315)". Lineage: Eukaryota; Viridiplantae; Streptophyta; Magnoliopsida; Solanales; Solanaceae. The record is from RNAcentral.